RNAcentral lists this ribosomal RNA (468 nucleotides) under uncultured bacterium. Its description in RNAcentral is "partial 16S ribosomal RNA". It matches the Rfam family "Bacterial small subunit ribosomal RNA", at positions 28 to 507 of the family's 1533-position model. The record is from RNAcentral.
GACGAACGCUGGCGGCGUGCUUAACACAUGCAAGUCGAACGGAAAGGCCCUGCUUUUGUGGGUUGCUCGAUUGGCGAACGGGUGAGUAACACGUGAGUAACCUGCCCUUGACUUUGGGGUAACUUCAGGAAACUGGGGCUAAUACCGGAUAGGAGCUCCUGCUGCAUGGUGGUGGUUGGAGAGUUUCGGCGGUUGUGGCUGGACUCGCGGCUUAUCAGCUUGUUGGUGGGGUAGUGGCUUACCAAGGCUUUGACGGGUAGGCGGCCUGAGAGGGUGACCGGGCACCAUGGGACUACGAUACGGAGCAGAAGCCUACCGGAGGCAACAGUGGGGAAUAUUGCACAAUGGGCGGAAGCCUGAUGCAGCAACGCCGCGUGCGGGAUGACGGCCUUCGGGUGGUAAACCGCUUUCGCCUGAGCCGAAGCGUGAGUGACGGUAAUGGGUAAAGAAGCACCGGCUAACUACGUG